UACGUAGGGUGCAAGCGUUGUCCGGAAUUAUUGGGCGUAAAGAGCUCGUAGGCGGCUAGUCGCGUCGGCUGUGAAAACCUGGGGCUCAACCCCGGGCCUGCAGACGAUACGGGCUAGCUAGAAUUCGGUAGGGGAGACUGGAAUUCCUGGUGUAGCGGUGAAAUGCGCAGAUAUCAGGAGGAACACCGGUGGCGAAGGCGGGUCUCUGGGCCGAUAUUGACGCUGAGGAGCGAAAGCAUGGGGAGCGAACAGG
Molecule: ribosomal RNA, 253 nt
Filed under: uncultured bacterium
Lineage: Bacteria
Description: partial 16S ribosomal RNA
Rfam family: Bacterial small subunit ribosomal RNA
Source: RNAcentral